Molecule: ribosomal RNA, 399 nt
Filed under: uncultured bacterium
Lineage: Bacteria
Description: bacterial SSU rRNA
Rfam family: Bacterial small subunit ribosomal RNA
Source: RNAcentral
AUUGAACGCUGGCGGCAUGCCUUACACAUGCAAGUCGAACGGCAGCGCGGGAGCAAUCCUGGCGGCGAGUGGCGAACGGGUGAGUAAUAUAUCGGAACGUGCCCAGUAGUGGGGGAUAGCCCGGCGACAGCCGGAUUAAUACCGCAUACGACCUACGGGUGAAAGGGGUCGGAUCGCAAGACCUCUCGCUAUUGGAGCGGCCGAUAUCAGACUUAGGUAGUUGGUGGGGUAAAGGCCUACCAAGCCUGCGAUCUGUAGUUGGUCUGAGAGGACGACCAGCCACACUGGAACUGAGACACGGUCCAGACUCCUACGGGAGGCAGCAGUGGGGAAUUUUGGACAAUGGGCGCAAGCCUGAUCCAGCCAUACCGCGUGAGUGAAGAAGGCCUCGGUUGUAAG